This 24-nucleotide non-coding RNA is filed under the name Arabidopsis thaliana (thale cress). Lineage: Eukaryota; Viridiplantae; Streptophyta; Magnoliopsida; Brassicales; Brassicaceae. The record is from RNAcentral.
AUAGGAAGCGGUCAAUGCCACAUC